Molecule: ribosomal RNA, 469 nt
Filed under: Escherichia coli
Lineage: Bacteria; Pseudomonadati; Pseudomonadota; Gammaproteobacteria; Enterobacterales; Enterobacteriaceae
Description: bacterial SSU rRNA
Rfam family: Bacterial small subunit ribosomal RNA
Source: RNAcentral
AAAUUGAAGAGUUUGAUCAUGGCUCAGAUUGAACGCUGGCGGCAGGCCUAACACAUGCAAGUCGAACGGUAACAGAAAGCAGCUUGCUGCUUUGCUGACGAGUGGCGGACGGGUGAGUAAUGUCUGGGAAACUGCCUGAUGGAGGGGGAUAACUACUGGAAACGGUAGCUAAUACCGCAUAAUGUCGCAAGACCAAAGAGGGGGACCUUCGGGCCUCUUGCCAUCGGAUGUGCCCAGAUGGGAUUAGCUAGUAGGUGGGGUAACGGCUCACCUAGGCGACGAUCCCUAGCUGGUCUGAGAGGAUGACCAGCCACACUGGAACUGAGACACGGUCCAGACUCCUACGGGAGGCAGCAGUGGGGAAUAUUGCACAAUGGGCGCAAGCCUGAUGCAGCCAUGCCGCGUGUAUGAAGAAGGCCUUCGGGUUGUAAAGUACUUUCAGCGGGGAGGAAGGGAGUAAAGUUAAUAC